AGAGCCAAACACACCCCUAUGUUAAACUCCAUUUAGGAUAUCUAAACCCAACUCCAAACUUGAUGGUAGGUGUAACCAAACACCCCAUUUCAACACAAAAAAAAUUAGAAGUGCAGAUUUUUUUUCUUCAUUCUUCAUUCUCUAACUUCUCUCUACUUUCUCUCUCAUUUUCCUUUACUUUCUUGGAGGCCAAACACCACACCUUUGCUCCACCCUUACACCACCACCUUAACCCACCAUCUCCACCACCUCCGGCCACCUUAUCUCAUCGGAAAAAGGGUCCGGUCGGCCACUCCUUAAAUCCAUCCGAAAAUAACACAUUAGAAGCACCAACUCUAGAUUUUUCUUAAUCUUUUGAAGAAUCAAAGCAUGGGAUUUAUUUUCUUGAUGGAUUAGAGGCUUGUAAUUGGAUUGGAGGAAGGCAUCUCUACACCUCUUGGAAAUUAAUUUGUAGAGUUUCAAAUCUACACUUUUGUUAUUUUUGGAGAUUCAUAGACUUUUGUGUGGCUCGCCUCAACUUGGA
This is a non-coding RNA of Camellia sinensis, 523 nucleotides long. The record is from RefSeq and is a predicted model, not a curated record. Lineage: Eukaryota; Viridiplantae; Streptophyta; Magnoliopsida; Ericales; Theaceae.